This 465-nucleotide ribosomal RNA is filed under the name uncultured bacterium. Its description in RNAcentral is "partial 16S ribosomal RNA". It matches the Rfam family "Bacterial small subunit ribosomal RNA", at positions 28 to 507 of the family's 1533-position model. The record is from RNAcentral.
GACGAACGCUGGCGGCGUGCUUAACACAUGCAAGUCGAACGGAAAGGCCCCUUUGGGGGUACUCGAGUGGCGAACGGGUGAGUAACACGUGAGUAACCUGCCCUUGACUUCGGGAUAACUUCAGGAAACUGGGGCUAAUACCGGAUAGGAAUCCUUGCUGCAUGGUGGGGGUUGGAAAGCUUCGGCGGUUUUGGAUGGACUCGCGGCUUAUCAGCUUGUUGGUGGGGUAGUGGCUUACCAAGGCUUUGACGGGUAGCCGGCCUGAGAGGGCGACCGGCCACAUUGGGACUGAGAUACGGCCCAGACGCCUACGGGAGGCAGCAGGGGGGAAUAUUGCACAAUGGGCGGAAGCCUGAUGCAGCAACGCCGCGUGCGGGAGGACGGCCUUCGGGUUGUAAACCGCUUUCAGCAGGGGCGAAGCUUGUGGUGACGGUACCUGCAGAAGAAGCACCGGCUAACUACGUG